RNAcentral lists this ribosomal RNA (253 nucleotides) under uncultured bacterium. RNAcentral's name for it is "partial 16S ribosomal RNA". It matches the Rfam family "Bacterial small subunit ribosomal RNA", at positions 524 to 776 of the family's 1533-position model. The record is from RNAcentral.
UACGUAGGUGGCAAGCGUUGUCCGGAAUUACUGGGUGUAAAGGGAGCGCAGGCGGGGGGUCAAGUUGGAUGUGAAAUACCGCAGCUCAACUGCGGGGCUGCAUCCAAAACUGAUCUUCUUGAGUGAGGUAGAGGCAGGCGGAAUUCCUGGUGUAGCGGUGAAAUGCGUAGAUAUCAGGAGGAACACCAGUGGCGAAGGCGGCCUGCUGGGCCUUAACUGACGCUGAGGCUCGAAAGCGUGGGGAGCAAACAGG